CCUACGGGAGGCAGCAGUGGGGGAUAUUGCACAAUGGGGGAAACCCUGAUGCAGCGACGCCGCGUGGGUGAAGAAGCGCCUCGGCGCGUAAAGCCCUGUCAGCAGGGAAGAAAAUGACGGUACCUGAAGAAGAAACCCCGGCUAACUACGUGCCAGCAGCCGCGGUAAUACGUAGGGGGCAAGCGUUAUCCGGAUUUACUGGGGGUAAAGGGGGCGCAGACGGGGAUGCAAGCCAGGAGUGAAAGCCCGGGGCCCAACCCCGGGACUGCUCUUGGAACUGCGUGGCUAGAGUGCAGGAGGGGCAGGCGGAAUUCGUGGUGUAGCGGUGAAAUGCGUAGAUAUCAGGAGGAACACCGGUGGCGAAGGCGGCCUGCUGGACUGCAACUGACGUUGAGGCCCGAAAGCGUGGGGAGCAAACAGGAUUAGAUACCCGGGUAGUC
RNAcentral lists this ribosomal RNA (440 nucleotides) under uncultured bacterium. RNAcentral describes it as "partial 16S ribosomal RNA". It matches the Rfam family "Bacterial small subunit ribosomal RNA", at positions 338 to 795 of the family's 1533-position model. The record is from RNAcentral.